CACUGUGGAGAAUAUCAAGUACAUACAGGGUGGUGAUUCUGUCCAGAGAGCACUUGCUGUCCUGUUAAGAAAGCACUGAUUCUCAUGAAACUAUAAGAGAACAGUUUGCAAAGUAAGAAAACACUCAAAAUGUAAAGCGAAAAGACAAAGGUGUUACUCCCUGUCCCCACCCCCCAAAAGGGGUUGUGUGGCCUUCUGAAGGAAAUUUGGGUUGUUUUCACAAUUUGUUUAUUCAUUCACCUGCUAAAGGAAGUUCAGGUUGUUUCCAGUUUUUGGUUCAUAGAUUGAAGGUUCUAUGAACAUUUGUGUACAAAGUCUUUGUAUGCUUUCAUUUCUCUGGGGUAAAUACAUAGAUGUGAAAUGGCUGCAUCACAUGGGAAGUGUAUGUUUAAUUUUUUAAGAAAUUAAGUAAUCACUU
This 418-nucleotide long non-coding RNA is filed under the name Pan troglodytes (chimpanzee). RNAcentral's name for it is "long non-coding RNA NONPTRT014574". The record is from RNAcentral. Lineage: Eukaryota; Metazoa; Chordata; Mammalia; Primates; Hominidae.